CUGAGGGUGUUGGUAGUUCGCACACAAUAAUGCCUCGAAGUCGCCUGGAGGUCCUUAGCUUACGGCCUCUAGCUCUUAUUCAUUUUGAAGAUGUGCGACCGGAGACUACAUAGAGCAUUCGCCGAAGCCGUUCACUUGUUUCUUUGAGGGCAGUGAGCAGUGUAUACUGUUUCAGUUCGACUUGCUACAAUGCUUCGUUGGCUGUGCAAACUCAAGGCAUUUCCUGCCGGCCAGCGGUAUUUACCAGUUCUUGUCGGACUAGGCCAAUUCCUGUUCAAGGCCAGUGCUUGUGCGGCGGAAACAGACGAGACUGCUUUAUCAUUGCAACAAGAGCAAAGCGACCGCAACGUGCUUGCUGUGGUUGGCGUGACCGUUGUGAUCAACUUCAUCCUGGCGAUCCUGUGCUGCGAGCUACGGGGAAGGUACUUGGGACAUUGGCCGUCUCUCCUGAUCGUUGGGGUUGGCAGUGCUGCAGCAUCGUGCUUCAGCCAUGACGUGCCUACAUUGCAGGUGUACUAUUUCCUUCUGAAUUGUUUGAUCUUUGCAGUGUGGGUGUACACUGACGCUUACAAUAACAUUGACGUGUAUAUUAAUUACCAAUAGAAAUUCCAUUGCCGCGUGAGUUCUUGAGUUGAUCCAACUUGAUUCUAGCAAGUUGCGUUUGGACCAUCUCUGCAACUGUAUGAAGAUUAUGUGAACCAGCAAACGGUUUUAGAUUGCCCGCCGUAUCUUGUCUCUACUCGUGUUGCACUCGAAACCCAUGUGCUGUCCAAAUAAUUCCACAUGCUGAGACUGA
Sycon ciliatum is the source of this 796-nucleotide long non-coding RNA. RefSeq lists it as uncharacterized. NCBI's taxonomy places the organism in Eukaryota, Metazoa, Porifera, Calcarea, Leucosolenida, Sycettidae. The transcript has 2 exons. The record is from RefSeq and is a predicted model, not a curated record.